RNAcentral lists this ribosomal RNA (1041 nucleotides) under Olivibacter domesticus. RNAcentral's name for it is "bacterial SSU rRNA". It matches the Rfam family "Bacterial small subunit ribosomal RNA", at positions 323 to 1368 of the family's 1533-position model. Lineage: Bacteria; Pseudomonadati; Bacteroidota; Sphingobacteriia; Sphingobacteriales; Sphingobacteriaceae. The record is from RNAcentral.
GACACGGACCAGACUCUACGGGAGGCAGCAGUAAGGAAUAUUGGUCAAUGGAGGGAACUUGAACCAGCCAUGCCGCGUGCAGGAAGACGGCCCUACGGGUUGUAAACUGCUUUUGCACGGGAAUAACCCUUUCUAUGUAUAGAGAGCUGAAUGUACCGUGAGAAUAAGGAUCGGCUAACUCCGUGCCAGCAGCCGCGGUAAUACGGAGGAUCCGAGCGUUAUCCGGAAUUAUUGGGUUUAAAGGGUGCGCAGGCGGGGAUCUAAGUCAGGGGUGAAAGACGGUGGCUCAACCAUCGCAGUGCCUUUGAUACUGGAUUUCUUGAAUGUACCUGAGGUAGGCGGAAUGUGGCAAGUAGCGGUGAAAUGCAUAGAUAUGCCACAGAACACCGAUUGCGAAGGCAGCUUACCAAAGUACGAUUGACGCUGAGGCACGAAAGCGUGGGGAUCGAACAGGAUUAGAUACCCUGGUAGUCCACGCCCUAAACGAUGAACACUCGAUGUCGGCGAUAGACAGUCGGCGUCCAAGCGAAAGCGUUAAGUGUUCCACCUGGGGAGUACGCCCGCAAGGGUGAAACUCAAAGGAAUUGACGGGGGCCCGCACAAGCGGAGGAGCAUGUGGUUUAAUUCGAUGAUACGCGAGGAACCUUACCCGGGCUUGAAAGUUACUGAAGAUAUCAGAGAUGAUAUCGUCCUUCGGGACAGGAAACUAGGUGCUGCAUGGCUGUCGUCAGCUCGUGCCGUGAGGUGUUGGGUUAAGUCCCGCAACGAGCGCAACCCCUGUGGAUAGUUGCCAGCACAUAAAGGUGGGGACUCUAUCCAGACUGCCUGUGCAAACAGAGAGGAAGGCGGGGACGACGUCAAGUCAUCAUGGCCCUUACGUCCGGGGCUACACACGUGCUACAAUGGGCGGUACAGAGGGCAGCCAACCUGCAAAGGUGCGCCAAUCCCUUAAAGCCGUUCACAGUUCGGAUCGGGGUCUGCAACUCGACCCCGUGAAGCUGGAUUCGCUAGUAAUCGCGUAUCAGCAAKACGCGGMUCAGG